GGCAAGCGGAUCUCUUAAAGCUGUUCUCAGUUCGGACUGCAGUCUGCAACUCGACUGCACGAAGCUGGAAUCGCUAGUAAUCGCGGAUCAGCACGCCGCGGUGAAUACGUUCCCGGGCCUUGUACACACCGCCCGUCACACCAUGGAAGUCUGCAAUGCCCGAAGCCGGUGGCCUAACCACUUAUGUGGAAGGAGCCGUCUAAGGCAGGGCAGAUGACUGGGGUGAAGUCGUAACAAGGUAGC
RNAcentral lists this ribosomal RNA (243 nucleotides) under uncultured bacterium. Its description in RNAcentral is "partial 16S ribosomal RNA". It matches the Rfam family "Bacterial small subunit ribosomal RNA", at positions 1262 to 1500 of the family's 1533-position model. The record is from RNAcentral.